Molecule: long non-coding RNA, 843 nt
Organism: Sycon ciliatum
Lineage: Eukaryota; Metazoa; Porifera; Calcarea; Leucosolenida; Sycettidae
Exons: 5
Source: RefSeq, a predicted model, not a curated record
UUUGAAAAGUAGCGCGCUCAGACCAGCUCGCUCACUCUUUUCCUCUUCCAUUUUUUAGGGCAAUUGUUUUGUUUGAUAGACGAAGCUUAGGGUCUCUUUGGGUUUGCAACCCUUACCCUCCUGGAAAAAAUCAUAGUUGCUAGACUGCGACACUUCAGACCAGGUACUAUUAGAGCCGCUAAUGGACGACGAGCUAUUUUCCGCUAUCCGGAGCUCAAGCAUUUGAGCCGCUAAAUGGACGAGACUCCUGGGGUAAAGGAUGCAGAGAAUGAGGAGAAAACACUCGUAUGGAGCAGGGAGUAGGUAUUGUACUACUUCCUGGUAUGGAGCACUGAGAAGCGCAUUAGGCGAUUUGAUCGCAGGACAAGAGAGGAGCUGAUGGACGAUCUCUCCAGUGUCCCUCUUGGUUCGGAGCAGCGCCGAGUGCUGACGUUGGGACUUGGAGUUCUGGCAUCCGUAGCUGCCUCAGGGGUGCCACUUCUCCCAUCAGCGUCGACUAGUCCGCCGAUCUCACUCAGCUCUGCUCUCCGAGCAUUCUGCUUCCAACACGACUUCCCGAAAGAAAAUGUGCUCGCGCAUUAGAAGGAGGUGAAAGAUGCACCUGCAGGAGAAUACAUGCUUAAUGCUGGCAAGUCAACAGAGGCGAGUACUGAUAAUGUUCCAGAUUGUGGUAGGAUCACAUAAGCAAAAUUGACACUGGGAGGCACGGCGGUGGGUCAGCUCAUGGCCAGCGCCAGCUCCAGUGGAUAUCACGUGCAUCCAGUUCUAGUACUAUAGUAUGACUGCUACAAAGUAGUGCGGCCCAAAUAGAACUCGGGUCAGGUGCCGAAGAACUGGGGGGGG